CAGGAUGCCGCUGAUGGAGUACGACGAGCCGGCCGAAUCCGUGCUCACCGAGGACACCUGCGUCACGGAGCCAGUGGACACUGCGCGGAGAAAGACGGGCGGUCAGGGCCGCAGAGGGCUGAAGGCAGCGGGCCGGCUGUCACAGCACAACCUUAGGCUCUAGAGAGUUUGUAGACUUCCAGCAAGGACAACGCACGCGCAAGACCGCAAGCCCGGAGCAUCUGAGAGCAGCAGAACAGGGCCACGCGGAAAGCUCCUCCGGAUCUACCAGAAAGCUCCUUCCUUGGCAUUUGGGAGAAGAGUGGGUAUAAUAAAAUGUCCAGUUUCUUUGGAAAAGUUAUAUUCCAGUCUCAAACUGUUACCUUUUGAAAGGACAUUUAUUAGAGUUUUUCCUCAUUAUAACAGUAAUAUAUGUUCGUUGUAGACUCUUUGGACAGCAUGGGAAAGUAUAAAGAAGACAUCUAAAAACCAUAUUUUGGUGUAUUUCCUUUAUACCAGCAUUCCUGGGCAUAUUUAGAAAUAUCCAUUUUUCUCUUAACAAAAUCAGGAUUAUGCCAUGUAUACAUUUUUUUUUGUUGUGGUUGUUGUUUGUUUUGAGACAGAGUCUUGCUCUGUUGCCCAGGCUGGAGUGCAGUGGUGCGAUCUCAGUUCACUGCAACCUCCGCCUCCCAGGUUUGAGUGAUUCUCCUGCCUCAUCCUCCCAAGCAGCUGGGAUUACAGGCAUGCACCACCAUGCCC
Molecule: non-coding RNA, 738 nt
Filed under: Pongo abelii (Sumatran orangutan)
Lineage: Eukaryota; Metazoa; Chordata; Mammalia; Primates; Hominidae
Source: RNAcentral